This 195-nucleotide ribosomal RNA is filed under the name uncultured bacterium DF06. Its description in RNAcentral is "partial 16S ribosomal RNA". It matches the Rfam family "Bacterial small subunit ribosomal RNA", at positions 338 to 526 of the family's 1533-position model. The record is from RNAcentral.
CCUACGGGAGGCAGCAGUGGGGAAUUUUGGACAAUGGGGGCAACCCUGAUCCAGCAAUGCCGCGUGUGUGAAGAAGGCCUUCGGGUUGUAAAGCACUUUUGUCCGGAAAGAAAUGGCUCUGGUUAAUACCCGGGGUCGAUGACGGUACCGGAAGAAUAAGCACCGGCUAACUACGUGCCAGCAGCCGGGUAAUAC